RNAcentral lists this ribosomal RNA (253 nucleotides) under uncultured bacterium. RNAcentral's name for it is "partial 16S ribosomal RNA". It matches the Rfam family "Bacterial small subunit ribosomal RNA", at positions 524 to 776 of the family's 1533-position model. The record is from RNAcentral.
UACGGAGGGUGCAAGCGUUAUCCGGAUUCACUGGGUUUAAAGGGUGCGUAGGCGGGCAGGUAAGUCAGUGGUGAAAUCCUUGAGCUUAACUCGAGAACUGCCAUUGAUACUAUCUGUCUUGAAUAUUGUGGAGGUAAGCGGAAUGUGUCAUGUAGCGGUGAAAUGCUUAGAUAUGACAUAGAACACCUAUUGCGAAGGCAGCUUACUACGCAUAUAUUGACGCUGAGGCACGAAAGCGUGGGGAUCAAACAGG